UACGGAAGGCAGCAGUGGGGAAUAUUGCACAAUGGGCGAAAGACCUGAUGCAGCUAUGCCGCGUGUAUGAAGAAGGCCUUAGGGUUGUAAAGUACUUUCAUCGGGGAGGAAAAAACAAAACUAAUAAUUUUAUUUCUUGACGUUACCCGAAAAAGAAGCACCGGCUAACUCCGUGCCAGCAGCCGCGGUAAUACGGAGGGUGCUAGCGUUAAUCAGAAUUACUGGGCGUAAAGAGCACGUAGGUGGUUUUUUUAAAGUCAGAUGUGAAAAUCCCUGGGCUUAACCUAGGAACUGCAUUUUGAAACUGAAAUACUAGAGUAUCGUAGAGGGAGGUAGAAUUCUAGGUGUAGCGGUGAAAUGCGUAGAUAUCUGGAGGAAUACCUGUGGCGAAAGCGGCCUCCUAAACGAAUACUGACACUGAGGUGCGAAAGCGUGGGGAGCAAACAGGGAUUAGAUACC
RNAcentral lists this ribosomal RNA (459 nucleotides) under uncultured bacterium. Its description in RNAcentral is "bacterial SSU rRNA". It matches the Rfam family "Bacterial small subunit ribosomal RNA", at positions 340 to 786 of the family's 1533-position model. The record is from RNAcentral.